This 225-nucleotide ribosomal RNA is filed under the name uncultured bacterium. RNAcentral's name for it is "partial 16S ribosomal RNA". It matches the Rfam family "Bacterial small subunit ribosomal RNA", at positions 524 to 743 of the family's 1533-position model. The record is from RNAcentral.
UACGAAGGGUGCAAGCGUUACUCGGAAUUACUGGGCGUAAAGGGUGCGUAGGUGGUCGUUUAAGUCCGUUGUGGAAAUCCCUGGGCUCAACCUGGGAAUGGCAGUGGAUACUGGACGGCUAGAAAUGGCGGUGAGAGGGUAGUGGAAUUCCCGGUGUAGCAGUGAAAUGCGUAGAGAUCGGGAGGAACACCAGUGGCGGAAGGCGGCUACCUGGACCAGCAUUGA